This 352-nucleotide unclassified non-coding RNA is filed under the name soil metagenome. Its description in RNAcentral is "partial contains 5.8S ribosomal RNA, internal transcribed spacer 2, and large subunit ribosomal RNA". The stretch from base 1 to 120 matches the Rfam family "5.8S ribosomal RNA", at positions 35 to 154 of the family's 154-position model. The record is from RNAcentral.
GAUGAAGAACGCAGCGAAAUGCGAUAAGUAAUGUGAAUUGCAGAAUUCAGUGAAUCAUCGAAUCUUUGAACGCACAUUGCGCCCGCCAGUAUUCUGGCGGGCAUGCCUGUUCGAGCGUCAUUUCAACCCUCAGGCCCCCAGUGCCUGGUGUUGGGGAUCGGCCCAGCCUUCCUGUAAGGCCGCCGGCCCCGAAAUCUAGUGGCGGUCUCGCUGUAGUCCUCCUCUGCGUAGUAGCACAACCUCGCAGUUGGAACGCGGCGGUGGCCAUGCCGUUAAACACCCCACUUCUGAAAGUUGACCUCGGAUCAGGUAGGAAUACCCACUGAACUUAAGCAUAUCAAUAAGCGGAGGA